This 279-nucleotide long non-coding RNA is filed under the name Elaeis guineensis (African oil palm). RNAcentral describes it as "long non-coding RNA (EGUI_LNC054550)". Lineage: Eukaryota; Viridiplantae; Streptophyta; Magnoliopsida; Arecales; Arecaceae. The record is from RNAcentral.
UGCCCCUCUUCCUUUUGAAGAUCUAUUUACAUCCUAUGGGUUCAAUCUCUUCAGGUGGAUCAACUAAUGUCCACACAUCAUUGAUCUUCAUGGACUCCAUUUUGAAUUUUAUAGAUUCAAACUAUUUAUCAGAGUUGGACCUUUGUAUUGCAUCCAUAUAGGUGAUUGAACUCUCAUUGUUCUCAUCGAGUUCAAUAGGAUCUCCAUCUCGAACCAAGAAAUCAUAAUAUCUGUCUGAUUGAUGCGAUACUCUAUCAGAUCUCCUUAAUGAUAUCUCUA